This 744-nucleotide ribosomal RNA is filed under the name Harmajaea harperi. Its description in RNAcentral is "SSU rRNA". It matches the Rfam family "Eukaryotic small subunit ribosomal RNA", at positions 441 to 1188 of the family's 1831-position model. The record is from RNAcentral. Lineage: Eukaryota; Fungi; Basidiomycota; Agaricomycetes; Agaricales; Pseudoclitocybaceae.
UUACCCAAUCCCAAUACGGGGAGGUAGUGACAAUAAAUAACAAUAUAGGGCUCUUUCGGGUCUUAUAAUUGGAAUGAGUACAAUUUAAAUCCCUUAACGAGGAACAAUUGGAGGGCAAGUCUGGUGCCAGCAGCCGCGGUAAUUCCAGCUCCAAUAGCAUAUAUUAAAGUUGUUGCAGUUAAAAAGCUCGUAGUUGAACUUCAGGCCUGGCUGGGUGGUCCGCUUAACGGCGUGUACUGUUUGGCUGGGUCUUACCUCUUGGUGAGCCAGCGUGCCCUUUAUUGGUGUGCGUUGGGGAACCAGGACUUUUACCUUGAGAAAAUUAGAGUGUUCAAAGCAGGCCUAUGCCCGAAUACAUUAGCAUGGAAUAAUAAAAUAGGACGUGCGGUUCUAUUUUGUUGGUUUCUAGAGUCGCCGUAAUGAUUAAUAGGGAUAGUUGGGGGCAUUGGUAUUGAGUCGCUAGAGGUGAAAUUCUUGGAUUGACUCAAGACCAACUAUUGCGAAAGCAUUUGCCAAGGAUGUUUUCAUUAAUCAAGAACGAAGGUUAGGGGAUCGAAAACGAUCAGAUACCGUUGUAGUCUUAACAGUAAACUAUGCCGACUAGGGAUCGGGCAACCUCAAUUAUGAUGUGUUGCUCGGCACCUUACGAGAAAUCAAGGUCUUUGGGUUCUGGGGGGAGUAUGGUCGCAAGGCUGAAACUUAAAGGAAUUGACGGAAGGGCACCACCAGGUGUGGAGCCUGCGG